Molecule: ribosomal RNA, 454 nt
Filed under: uncultured bacterium
Lineage: Bacteria
Description: partial 16S ribosomal RNA
Rfam family: Bacterial small subunit ribosomal RNA
Source: RNAcentral
GAUGAACGCUGACAGAAUGCUUAACACAUGCAAGUCAACUUGAACUUCGGUUUGGGUGGCGGACGGGUGAGUAACGCGUAAAGAACUUGCCUCACAGAUAGGGACAACAUUUGGAAACGAAUGCUAAUACCUGAUAUUAUGAUUAUAUGGCAUCGUAUAAUUAUGAAAGCUAUAUGCGCUGUGAGAGAGCUUUGCGUCCCAUUAGCUAGUUGGAGAGGUAACGGCUCACCAAGGCGAUGAUGGGUAGCCGGCCUGAGAGGGUGAUCGGCCACAAGGGGACUGAGACACGGCCCUUACUCCUACGGGAGGCAGCAGUGGGGAAUAUUGGACAAUGGACCAAGAGUCUGAUCCAGCAAUUCUGUGUGCACGAUGAAGUUUUUCGGAAUGUAAAGUGCUUUCAGUUGGGAAGAAAAGAAUGACGGUACCAACAGAAGAAGAGACGGCUAAAUACGUG